GUGAGGAAUAUUGGUCAAUGGGCGCGAGCCUGAACCAGCCAAGUAGCGUGAGGGAUGACUGCCCUAUGGGUUGUAAACCUCUUUUGCAGGGGGGUAAAGUGGUUCACGUGUGGACCAUUGCAAGUACCCUGCGAAUAAGGAUCGGCUAACUCCGUGCCAGCAGCCGCGGUAAUACGGAGGAUCCGAGCGUUAUCCGGAUUUAUUGGGUUUAAAGGGAGCGUAGGCGGGGGUUUCAGUCAGCUGUGAAAUGCCGUGGCCCAACCAUGGAACUGCAGUUGAAACUGGACCUCUUGAGAGUACAUAAGGAAGGCGGAAUUCGUGGUGUAGCGGUGAAAUGCAUAGAUAUCACGAAGAACUCCGAUUGCGAAGGCAGCUUUCCGGGGUACAUCUGACGCUGAAGCUCGAAAGUGCGGGAAUCAAACAGGAUUAGAAACCCUUGUAGUCC
Molecule: ribosomal RNA, 445 nt
Filed under: uncultured bacterium
Lineage: Bacteria
Description: partial 16S ribosomal RNA
Rfam family: Bacterial small subunit ribosomal RNA
Source: RNAcentral